CUGAAAGGAACAUUUUUAAACCAUCAAUUUUAAAAAUUAUUUGAUUUACCACGUUGAGAAAAAACUGAAUUAUAUCUCUAUCAUGAUUAUAAAAGAUAAUAUGCAAAAUCAUUGUCAUGUGAAGAGACUUUUAAAGACUAUACAGCUCCUGCCUCAAACAAAAAGCAGGAAAAAAGUCAUAGGAAUAACCCAGACAAUUACUUAAAAAGUCAUUUUACAUUUUUAGAUUUUGCAGCACAUUUUACCAUUUUUUUGUUUUGUAAUUUGUUGUGGUUUCCUUUCUCAAUCUAUGAAAAUACUCUUCUAUGAAAAUACUCUUUUUUCAUUCCUAUUUUGUAUUUAUAGGUUUGUAUGCCUUUUCUUAAAGAGGACCCUAAAGUACACGAGCAGUGAGCCAUAUAAAACCUGAGCUAUCUUGCCAAUAGUCAAUUCCCCUUCCUUUCUCCUAAGAGAAUACAAAUGUAUUCAGGGACCUACUUUCUUCUGUCUGACAUUGGGUUUCAAGGGAGGUGGUUCCAGCUGUACUCCCAUAGGAUCCCAUUCCUCUGCCAGCAAUUGCUUUAGGCAUACACAUGUGGUAUAACUCUGGUGAUGGAUAGGAAGAAAAGUCUGCUGGGCGAGUUGGUGAAAGGUUUGCUUCUUUGAUUAAAGCUUUUUUUUCUUUCUUUAAUGCCUCCUAGGGUGGAGUGCCCUGUCUUGUCAUCUGGACUUUGUUGUGUUUGGAUGUGAUUUCUGGAAUCGCAGCAGCCAUCCUGUGACAGGGAGGAGAGCCAGGCUCAGAACAAGCCAACCAGCAGAGAAUGAUGAAGGAAAAAAAGCCAGCCCCAGGCCCCACAUUCAGACUUCUGGGUGAAGCACUCCACGGGGACAUUGCCCUUGGCCUUGGCUUUUCUCAACAGUCCUUGGAGAGGAUCUGCUUCAUGCACAGCCCUGAACAAAGGCAUCUGGAAACCAGAGAACACAGGAUGGGAAAUGAAGCUUGGUAAUGUGGAUAAACCCAGGCCCGGGGAUUUCUGAAGCAGGUCACCCCCACUUUGUGCAUAUGAA
RNAcentral lists this long non-coding RNA (1047 nucleotides) under Papio anubis (olive baboon). RNAcentral's name for it is "lncRNA (ENSPANG00000048749.1)". Lineage: Eukaryota; Metazoa; Chordata; Mammalia; Primates; Cercopithecidae. The record is from RNAcentral.